Long non-coding RNA from Hyaena hyaena (striped hyena), 2727 nucleotides. RefSeq lists it as uncharacterized. The transcript is spliced from 4 exons. The record is from RefSeq and is a predicted model, not a curated record. NCBI's taxonomy places the organism in Eukaryota, Metazoa, Chordata, Mammalia, Carnivora, Hyaenidae.
CUCCGAGGCUCCCGGGCUUCGCGAGGACGCGUUUGCAGCCCCCUCUGCCUGUCCUCUCGGGCGGCCGAGGCGAAGGAGCCGCCUUGCUGGGGCUUCGUGGUGGUGUAUUUCAUAUUGGGGCUCUUUUCGGGGUUUGUAAUUUGGCCGUGGGUAGGUAAUUGGCUGGAGCAGGGCGGCAGGGCGCGGCAGCCAAUCAGCGUGCGGCUUCUAUAGGGCUUGAGUUAUUAGACGCUGAUCUCAAAACAUCGUUCAUCAGACACCAAGGAGAGGCCAACAGAUGAGGGGAGCCAUUUUUCUGCAAUGGAAUUAAAUGGCCAAGUGGGUUUUUCCUUUGUUGCAAAUGGGGAAUGUUUUUCCUUUGACUCCACCAUCCAGUUCAGGACGCCUCAGUGUUGUGUUUAACAUUUGUCAACAGGCUAAAGGACUCACAGUUGGAAGAAUGGAGAAGACUUUUUAAAAAGAUCUGGAUUUUUCCUUAUGACUUGGAAUCCAUCUUUGUCUUGUAUAACUAGGUCAUAGCACACCAUUAAUGUCAGCAGUUAACAAUUUUGAAUUCCAAAAAACCUAAGUAAAUGACAUAUUUAAUUUUUUUUCCUUUUUUUCUUGGGUGGGUGGGGGGAGCUUGGAGCUGUCUUAAUCUGUAUUCUCUUGACUGAACAAUAAAUUUUUAAAUAUAUAUAGUUUCCUCUAUUAAACACUUAAACCUGGCCAUCUUAUUAACUCCUUCUGCUCUCUUUUUAACAAGGUAAUGUUUUAAAUGUAUAGUUUUAGGAUUAGCGAAAUGGCAGCAACAAAAAAUUGUAAGCAGUUGUUACUUUUAAGUUUUUAAAAACCUUUUACAUUGUAAGUACCCAAUCCAUUCUGUCCUUACGCAGUGCAGUUUUCAUGUUAAUGUUGCUGAGAUGUCCUUAAUUUUCUGAACCUUCAUCUGCAUGUAUGUCUUUGUCGCUCUUGUCUAAUAUAAGCCAGUUAAAAUGCUUUUAGACGAUUUUGCUUUUAUAAAGCUGAGGUUUUUUAGCUUUAAGCUUUUGAAAAUGUUUAAAGCAAUAAAUGCUAGUCAGCUUUCUUCCCAGUAACAUGUACACGUUCUUUGAAAAUCGAUCUAUUUGAAGAAAAACAGCUCUGUUUUUCUCGUCUUGCUGGGGGGGUGGGUGAGGGAAAGGAAGACCUUCUCUUUGUGUACUGAGUCUAAAGCCGUCACAGGAAACUAGAUUAAAACUGGAAAACAAGUCCUAGCUGGUUCGAGCCAAACACCAACGUUAACUCGCGGGUAUUUUCUAUGGUGGUUGGGAUGGCCGUGCGUCUUUUGCCUUUUGUUUGAUUUGACUGUGUAUUUUCGCCUUUUGUCUCUUAAUGACGAUCACACCAUUGCUAUAUCCAGAGCAGUAAACAGUCCUCAGCGAAGCCGCCUUUUGCCAACCCAACCCUGGAAAGUUUGCAGAAGUGGAAGGAGCAGAAAAUGCCAUGAGAGUGUAACUUACAAAAAGCUUGAUCUUCCAGACUCCAUGGCACCGGGCUGAGCGGGCUCUUGGCUGGAGAAAGGGCGACGGCCAGGUACCCCCAGAGUGACCACCCUCCUUUGGACAGCAGAAUCAGGCCUAAUUUCACUCUGACAAUGCUCUAAGGAAUUCCUGGUGACUAGAAGAUGAAUGACUCGGGCCCUCAGAACACCUCACAGGUAAGGGAGCAGGGCUCCCCUUGCAUGUGGGCACCCGGCUUAACUGGCCAAGGCCCGGCCCAGCUGCCUCUGAGGAAGCUCUCAGCAGCUGGCCUGGCUCCUGGGUAUUUUUAGGUACAGAUCCAGUCCCUUCACCACCACUGGAGCUGGGUCCAAAUCAAACACACUCCAGGCCGGGUGGGGCUGGGGUGCUGCCAGCCCCUCGGCCAGGCGGGGGGUGGGCAGGCCGGCUGGGCCUGCGUCAGCUGCUGUCCCUUGCUGCCGGCAGGGCUGGGAAGCCUCGCUCUCCCCCUCCCCCUCCGUGUUGUGGAAGCCAUUCGUUCUGCCUUAAGUUGGGAUCGUAGCCCUCUUUCUCGGGUGAAGAAAAUAGAAACCCAGGUCCAAGGAUUUUGAGGAAAGUCAGCAUGUGUGAUGAACUCCCAAGUGACUGUUUGCUCAGAGGGGGAUGACCCUCCUAAGUGAAUUCUCCCCCCAGCCCCUCUCUUUCCCUUCUGUACCUCCCCUAGCUCAGAGGCCCUGAUUUAGGGUCAGGUCCAGGGUUGGCUGCAAAGGUAAGUGGUCUUCCGCUCACUCCAAGGCCCCUGCCAGCCUCAAGCUGCAACUGUGAGAAGAUGACCCCCAGCCGAUCCUCACCAGCCAAUCCCAGCUCCUCCCUGGUCACCAGAGAGAGCUUGAGGGCCUGGCUUUGGCUGGGCUCCUGUUCUGUUCAGGAGUCCCCUGUCUGACACCCGCUCUUGAGCCUGGCAGCAAGGCCCUCGAUGAUCUAACCCCAGUUACCUUGACAACCAUGUCUGGCCUCCCUCCUCGCUCCCCAGGCACUGUGGAAUCUGAUGGGGUUUCCCGGCCACCGUGCGUUUGUUCUGCUCCCAUUGGACCGCCCUCAACACUGCCCAGUCUUGGCUCAACCUUCCCUGAACCCUACAGGGUUCGGUCUCUAAAGCGUUCACAGCUCCCAAACGCUUUUAAGAGACUGCUCCCCCAAGGCCGAGCUCCCUGCAGGCAGGAACACAGUUGCCUCUCAAUAAUAAACUUGUGUGGUAAUAAAGGAA